GAUGAACGCUAGCUACAGGCUUAACACAUGCAAGUCGAGGGGAAACGACAUCGAAAGCUUGCUUUUGAUGGGCGUCGACCGGCGCACGGGUGAGUAACGCGUAUCCAACCUGCCCACCACUUGGGGAUAACCUUGCGAAAGUAAGACUAAUACACAAUGAUAUCUCUAGAAGACAUCUGAAAGAGAUUAAAGAUUUAUCGGUGAUGGAUGGGGAUGCGUCUGAUUAGCUUGUUGGCGGGGUAACGGCCCACCAAGGCUACGAUCAGUAGGGGUUCUGAGAGGAAGGGCCCCCACAUUGGAACUUGAACGCGGUCCAACAGCCUACGGUAGGCAGCAGUGAGGAAUAUUGGUCAAUGGGCGAGAUCCUGAACCAGCCAAGUAGCGUGCAGGAUGACGGCCCUAUGGGUUUUAAACUGCUUUUAUAAGGGAAUAAAGUGAGCCUCGUGUGGCUUUUUGCGUGUACCUUAUGAAUAAGGACCGGCUAAUUCCGUGCCAGCCGCCGCCGUAA
Molecule: ribosomal RNA, 508 nt
Filed under: uncultured bacterium
Lineage: Bacteria
Description: partial 16S ribosomal RNA
Rfam family: Bacterial small subunit ribosomal RNA
Source: RNAcentral